UACGGAGGGUGCAAGCAUUAAUCGGAAUUAUUGGGCGUAAAGGGCGCGUAGGCGGAUUCGUAAGUCAGAUGUGAAAUUCCGGAGCUCAAUUCCGGAGCUGCAUUUGAAACUGCGAGACUAGAGGAAUGGCGGAGAAAACGGAAUUCCACAUGUAGCGGUGAAAUGCGUAGAUAUGUGGAGGAACACCGGUGGCGAAAGCGGUUUUCUAGCUAUUAACUGACGCUGAGGCGCGAGAGCAAGGGGAUCAAACAGG
This 253-nucleotide ribosomal RNA is filed under the name uncultured bacterium. RNAcentral describes it as "partial 16S ribosomal RNA". It matches the Rfam family "Bacterial small subunit ribosomal RNA", at positions 524 to 776 of the family's 1533-position model. The record is from RNAcentral.